RNAcentral lists this ribosomal RNA (432 nucleotides) under uncultured bacterium. RNAcentral's name for it is "bacterial SSU rRNA". It matches the Rfam family "Bacterial small subunit ribosomal RNA", at positions 355 to 786 of the family's 1533-position model. The record is from RNAcentral.
UGAGGAAUAUUGGUCAAUGGGCGGGAGCCUGAACCAGCCAAGCCGCGUGACGGAAGAAGGCGCUAAGCGUCGUAAACGUCUUUUGCCGGGGAACAAAGGCGCGGACGCGUCCGCGUGUGAGUGUACCCGGAGAAAAAGCAUCGGCUAACUCCGUGCCAGCAGCCGCGGUAAUACGGAGGAUGCGAGCGUUAUCCGGAUUUAUUGGGUUUAAAGGGUGCGUAGGCGGCCGUUAAGUCAGCGGUAAAAGCCCGGGGCUCAACCCGGCGAGCCGUUGAAACUGGGGGGACUAGAGACGGCGAGAAGUACGCGGAAUGCGCGGUGUAGCGGUGAAAUGCAUAGAUAUCGCGCAGAACUCCGAUUGCGAAGGCAGCGUACCGGCGCCGGACUGACGCUGAGGCACGAAAGCGUGGGUAUCGAACAGGAUUAGAUACC